RNAcentral lists this unclassified non-coding RNA (308 nucleotides) under Hevea brasiliensis (rubber tree). Lineage: Eukaryota; Viridiplantae; Streptophyta; Magnoliopsida; Malpighiales; Euphorbiaceae. The record is from RNAcentral.
GUGUGUGUGUGUGUGUGUUGAAAUUAAUGAAAAAAAAAAACCCCUUUCUUCAAUUUGUCGCCUGAUCUUUAUAAAGUGUUAACAAUUAAACUCUAAACUUUAUAAAAAGUGAAAUGAAAGGUCAGAGUGCGUGCAAGUCAUGUUCGCGCAUAUAGGUUAAGUGGUUACAUUUUUAUAAAGUUUUGGUGUCAAAUGUUAACAAAGUAAAGGUGAGGGUGUCAAGUGAUUUUUUGGGUAAAGGUCAAGGGCCAAAAGAUGUAGUCGGCUUCAAGUUAAUUCAAGUUAAUUCAACUCAACUAAGUCUUUAU